UACGAGGGGGGCGAGCGUUGUUCGGAAUUAUUGGGCGUAAAGGGCGCGUAGGCGGUCGGAUAAGUCUUGUGUGAAAUCUUCGGGCCCAACUCGAAGUCUGCACAGGAAACUAUCUGGCUUGAGUGUGGGAGAGGUGAGUGGAAUUCCUGGUGUAGCGGUGAAAUGCGUAGAUAUCAGGAGGAACACCUGUGGCGAAAGCGGCUCACUGGACCACAACUGACGCUGAGGCGCGAAAGCUAGGGGAGCAAACAGG
Molecule: ribosomal RNA, 253 nt
Filed under: uncultured bacterium
Lineage: Bacteria
Description: partial 16S ribosomal RNA
Rfam family: Bacterial small subunit ribosomal RNA
Source: RNAcentral